GUCUACGGCCAUGCCACCCUGAACAAGCCCGAUGUCUGAUCUCAGAAGCUAAGCAGGGUCAGGCCUGGUUAGUACUUGGAUGGGAGACCACCUAGGAAGACCAGGUGCUGUAGGUA
This 116-nucleotide ribosomal RNA is filed under the name Pteropus alecto (black flying fox). Lineage: Eukaryota; Metazoa; Chordata; Mammalia; Chiroptera; Pteropodidae. The record is from RNAcentral.